UACAGAGGUGGCAAGCGUUGUUCGGAAUUACUGGGCGUAAAGGGCGCGUAGGCGGUUCGAUAAGUCCCGUGUGAAAUCCCUCGGCUCAACUGAGGAAUGGCACGGGAAACUGACGGGCUUGAGUUCGGGAGAGGGAAGCGGAAUUCCGGGUGUAGCGGUGAAAUGCGUAGAUAUCGGGAGGAACACCUAUGGCGAAGGCAGCUCGCUGGGACGUUACUGACGCUGAGACGCGAAAGCGUGGGGAGCAAACAGG
RNAcentral lists this ribosomal RNA (253 nucleotides) under uncultured bacterium. RNAcentral's name for it is "partial 16S ribosomal RNA". It matches the Rfam family "Bacterial small subunit ribosomal RNA", at positions 524 to 776 of the family's 1533-position model. The record is from RNAcentral.